Molecule: ribosomal RNA, 759 nt
Filed under: uncultured Neisseria sp.
Lineage: Bacteria; Pseudomonadati; Pseudomonadota; Betaproteobacteria; Neisseriales; Neisseriaceae
Description: bacterial SSU rRNA
Rfam family: Bacterial small subunit ribosomal RNA
Source: RNAcentral
AUUGAACGCGGGCGGCAUGCUUUACACAUGCAAGUCGGACGGCAGCACAGAGAAGCUUGCUUCUUGGGUGGCGAGUGGCGAACGGGUGAGUAACAUAUCGGAACGUACCGGGCAGUGGGGGAUAACUAAUCGAAAGAUUAGCUAAUACCGCAUAUCUUCUGAGGAAGAAAGCAGGGGACCAUUUGGCCUUGCGCUGUUUGAGCGGCCGAUAUCUGAUUAGCUAGUUGGUGGGGUAAAGGCCUACCAAGGCGACGAUCAGUAGCGGGUCUGAGAGGAUGAUCCGCCACACUGGGACUGAGACACGGCCCAGACUCCUACGGGAGGCAGCAGUGGGGAAUUUUGGACAAUGGGCGCAAGCCUGAUCCAGCCAUGCCGCGUGUCUGAAGAAGGCCUUCGGGUUGUAAAGGACUUUUGUCAGGGAAGAAAAGGGCGGGGUUAAUACCCCUGUCUGAUGACGGUACCUGAAGAAUAAGCACCGGCUAACUACGUGCCAGCAGCCGCGGUAAUACGUAGGGUGCGAGCGUUAAUCGGAAUUACUGGGCGUAAAGCGGGCGCAGACGGUUACUUAAGCAGGAUGUGAAAUCCCCGGGCUCAACCUGGGAACUGCGUUCCGAACUGGGUGACUAGAGUGUGUCAGAGGGAGGUAGAAUUCCACGUGUAGCAGUGAAAUGCGUAGAGAUGUGGAGGAAUACCGAUGGCGAAGGCAGCCUCCUGGGAUAACACUGACGUUCAUGCCCGAAAGCGUGGGUAGCAAACAGG